Molecule: long non-coding RNA, 1196 nt
Organism: Sander lucioperca (pikeperch)
Lineage: Eukaryota; Metazoa; Chordata; Actinopteri; Perciformes; Percidae
Exons: 3
Source: RefSeq, a predicted model, not a curated record
UUGAAGAACCCAUUAUACGAGCUCUGCAGCAACUGUUCACCUUGCAGCUUCACUAGUUCCCGUUGUUCCUUUGGUUUGUCAAAAAAUGACAGCAAGGAUGGGAUGGUAAAAAACAAAAUGCCCCGAAGAGCUCAUUGAAGACCUAAGAAAAUGGGAAAGACCUGAACGAUAUCAACAUUAGAAGGUUGAGUUUUAAUUUGUGGCCGUUGAAGAAACAGAGCCCAGAUGGCGAGGCACAACUCGUCAUCCCUCUGUCUAUCUUUCCUCUCUACCUUUUCUCUGCCUCAGAACCAGCACCGGAUAACAAAGAUAUGCAGAUGAGGCCGAAGCGGCGAGCUCUGGAUUGGCGCCAGAGAGAUCGUCUCUCACAAUAGCGGGGGAACAAAUUGAUGUGUCCUGCAAACUGUGCCACAGUAGCAGCGGGUGACUUCGCGAGCCCCUGCCAAAGCCGUCAGUCUACCGUGCCAGGCGGUGUGCCCCCGGUGGCAAAGUGAGGACAUCAGCUGCUGAACGAUUGCCAGAGGCCUGUGACACAAUAUGUAGCAUCGGUGUCAACGAUGUCAUUAGACAACAGAACGAUGCUGCCAGCAAACUCAUUAGCCUGAGUGGAAGUGACCCAACUCUUGGUAUAGCCACAAUACGAGCAACAAAUGCACUUCUAGAGGAUACUUUGGACGCUUUGAUAGUUUUCAAGUGCUGUGAUUCCUCUCAGUUUGGGAGUUAUUGGGGCAGGUUGAUAAGAUGAAGCAUGCAUUAUAGGACUAUAGUGUGCUAUAAGUGGUAUGUCUACCCUUAGGUGUCGAAAGGUUCAGAAAAACGUGGAAAUAUACUGUCUGCACUUUGAAACUUUCAACAACCAAUAAGUAGGCCUAUUUAUGUUGGCUUUUGUUCAACUGACUUUACUGUGGCCUAAAUGAUGAUGUCAUAUGUUCACUGUAGUGACACACAUGAUGGAAGAAAUCGGGGGGGGGAAAUGGUGGUUAGAAAAACACCUGUCUGAGCAAAUGUCCUCAACCACAGCCUCAUCCAGUAGCAUUCAUGUCUACAGGGUUACAUAUCAGCAUGUCCCAAAUUUGUCAAGUACUUCAACAGUACAUACUAAUUCAAUACAGUAUGUUCUACAAACUAAGUGUCAUAGUAUACUUGUUUAGCAGAAAGAAUACAAAGAAAUCAAAACUAUAAUGACUGGAAAUGAU